CCUACGGGUGGCAGCAGUGGGGAAUAUUGCACAAUGGGGGAAACCCUGAUGCAGCGACGCCGCGUGGGUGAAGAAGUAUUUCGGUAUGUAAAGCCCUAUCAGCAGGGAAGAAAGAAGACGGUACCUGACUAAGAAGCCCCGGCUAACUACGUGCCAGCAGCCGCGGUAAUACGUAGGGGGCGAGCGUUAUCCGGAUUCACUGGGUGUAAAGGGAGCGUAGACGGCCGUGCAAGCCAGGAGUGAAAGCCCGGGGCCCAACCCCGGGACUGCUCUUGGAACUGUGCGGCUGGAGUGCGGGAGGGGCAGGCGGAAUUCGUGGUGUAGCGGUGAAAUGCGUAGAUAUCAGGAGGAACACCGGCGGCGAAGGCGGCCUGCUGGACCGCGACUGACGUUGAGGCUCGAAAGCGUGGGGAGCGAACAGGAUUAGAUACCCGAGUAGUC
RNAcentral lists this ribosomal RNA (441 nucleotides) under uncultured bacterium. Its description in RNAcentral is "partial 16S ribosomal RNA". It matches the Rfam family "Bacterial small subunit ribosomal RNA", at positions 338 to 795 of the family's 1533-position model. The record is from RNAcentral.